AAACUACACAUUACAUUCAGGACCACUUUGUCAAUAAAUAGAUUAAUUCAUCUGCAAUUUGUAUUUGGCGGUAUGGCUCUGUUCUGGGGCCACCCUGCACUUCCACGUGCAUACAUGGAAAGCAUGAGGCAGGGAGAGCACA
Sander lucioperca (pikeperch) is the source of this 142-nucleotide long non-coding RNA. RefSeq lists it as uncharacterized. The record is from RefSeq and is a predicted model, not a curated record. The transcript is spliced from 3 exons. Lineage: Eukaryota; Metazoa; Chordata; Actinopteri; Perciformes; Percidae.